Molecule: ribosomal RNA, 253 nt
Filed under: uncultured bacterium
Lineage: Bacteria
Description: partial 16S ribosomal RNA
Rfam family: Bacterial small subunit ribosomal RNA
Source: RNAcentral
UACGUAGGGUGCAAGCGUUAAUCGGAAUUACUGGGCGUAAAGCGUGCGCAGGCGGUUAUGUAAGACAGGUGUGAAAUCCCCGGGCUUAACCUGGGAACUGCAUUUGUGACUGCAUAGCUAGAGUACGGUAGAGGGGGAUGGAAUUCCGCGUGUAGCAGUGAAAUGCGUAGAUAUUGGGAGGAACACCGGUGGCGAAGGCGGCUACCUGGACCGGUUCUGACGCUGAUGCGCGAAAGCGUGGGUAGCAAACAGG